GAUAUAGUGAAGUGAAGUGAAAAAGAAUACACAGGAGCAGGAUAUAAACAGAAAAAACAGGUUGGGAAAAGACACUUGGAAACAGCAGCAAGAACAUGUCCAUUCACACCCACAAAAUCCAAUCUUCUCUUACAUUUCUUAGAAAGGGACAAGGGAAUCAUCUGUUCAAGUUCAACAGUUGGAUGUAAAGUCAACGUUGUACAUUACCCAUAAACCAGGGGAAGAAAACUCAACAUUUUUUAUCAACCAUAACCUUCAUGUGUUUGUGAUUCUUAGGCACAUCUAAGUGGUUUCCUGAGCAGCACAGGUAUUGGAACCUGUUUUCCCGUGGAUCAUAUCUCCUGUUUGAUUGCAACGCCUGCCUGCUUUUUCUAUAAAUGAGUUUCAGUGGCUUUAAGCAUAGCUGGAUAAACUUUCAUCACUACCCUCGACCUGGGGAACCACUGGAGUCCACCACAUGGACAAGUUUGUCAUGAUUCACCUCAGAAAGAUGCUGUACAGCAUUGGAGAAGAUUAUUCUGCAAAUUGUCACAUACAGGCACUGAAUUAAAGUAUAUACAGAGGGAAGAAGCAAAAGCUGGCAGUCAUUAGUUGUAAACUGAUGGAAGAGAAUACAGAAGAUUGGAAAGAAAGCAUCUGCUGAACAAAACACAGCUUCUGCACAACAAAGUCCAUUUUCUUCUUGUGACUGGCAGCUGAGGAGCUCAGUUAUUUUUAUACUCUCUUGCCUGGCAUGGCAAUAAAAUAUACUUGGCAUAAAGUCCUUCACAGU
Molecule: long non-coding RNA, 772 nt
Organism: Columba livia (rock pigeon)
Lineage: Eukaryota; Metazoa; Chordata; Aves; Columbiformes; Columbidae
Exons: 5
Source: RefSeq, a predicted model, not a curated record